RNAcentral lists this long non-coding RNA (931 nucleotides) under Erythranthe guttata (spotted monkey flower). Its description in RNAcentral is "long non-coding RNA (EGUT_LNC001216)". The record is from RNAcentral. Lineage: Eukaryota; Viridiplantae; Streptophyta; Magnoliopsida; Lamiales; Phrymaceae.
AACACGUUAUCAGCACGAUUGUUCUACCUAAAUUUUCGAGUGAAGAUGGUCCAAGGAAGAUGACUCCUUAGCAGAAGAUGAAAGGGAGUUGAUUUUAAAUAUUUUAUUCUUGUUUUGAAUUGAUAAAAUAUUAACCAUCUUACUUUUGUUGUAGGUGAUUUUUCGUGCAAUUCACGAGUCUGUACUUCUAUGUCUGUUUUGGAUAUGAUAAUGUCCGAAUUUCAGAAAAUGCAAAAUACGAAACUUGUAGCAUUUUCUAUUGGCUGUUCGGAACAUUUUGAAUCAUCAAAAUCGGAUCUCGAUCAAGAGAGAUAUGCUUAAAAUACUCAGACAUGCCAGAUCUGUCAUUUGUGGUCAUUUUUCAAGACCUUGAGUCCCGUUUCGGACCUGAUAUUGUCCGAAUUUGAUAAAAUGUAAAAUACGAAAGUUGUAGAACUUUCUGUUGGCUGUUCACAGCAUGUUGAAGCGUUGAAAUUGGAUCUCGAAUGAGAGAGAUACAAGCAAAUUACUCAGACAUGACAAAUUUGUCAUUUGUGGACAUUUUUCAAGUCCACAAAAUAUUGAAAUGAGAAAAUUGAUAAUUGAUCAUAAUCAAUUUAUGGCUUGAAGCCUAGAUCACAUUUUGAGACUAUAAGUCUCAAUAGAAUAUGAUAGACUCAAAGUUUAUGUGAUAAUAAUACUCAAACUUAAGAUUUGAGUUGAUAUGUAUUUCUCAUUCAUAGUACUUUAAGUCUAAAUGAUAAGACUCUUGAACAAUUGAGUUAGAGGGUAUUCCCCAUUUAUAGUACUAUUCGUUCAUGAUCAAUGUACUAUAACAAUUUUAUUAUAUAUUGAGGCCCAAAUCGAGCACGUGCAAUCAAGUGACUCGAAUAUUUGAAUGUUGUAUUAUAACGAUUUUUAUUAUAUAUUGAGGCUUGAGGCCCAAAUCGAG